GAUGAACGCUGGCGGCGUGCCUAAUACAUGCAAGUCGAGCGAACAGAUGAGGAGCUUGCUCCUCUGACGUUAGCGGCGGACGGGUGAGUAACACGUGGAUAACCUACCUAUAAGACUGGGAUAACUUCGGGAAACCGGAGCUAAUACCGGAUAAUAUAUUGAACCGCAUGGUUCAAUAGUGAAAGACGGUUUUGCUGUCACUUAUAGAUGGAUCCGCGCCGCAUUAGCUAGUUGGUAAGGUAACGGCUUACCAAGGCAACGAUGCGUAGCCGACCUGAGAGGGUGAUCGGCCACACUGGAACUGAGACACGGUCCAGACUCCUACGGGAGGCAGCAGUAGGGAAUAUUCCGCAAUGGGCGAAAGCCUGACGGAGCAACGCCGCGUGAGUGAUGAAGGUCUUCGGAUCGUAAAGCUCUGUUAUUAGGGAAGAACAAAUGUGUAAGUAACUAUGCACGUCUUGACGGUACCUAAUCAGAAAGCCACGGCUAACUUCGUG
This 497-nucleotide ribosomal RNA is filed under the name uncultured bacterium. RNAcentral's name for it is "partial 16S ribosomal RNA". It matches the Rfam family "Bacterial small subunit ribosomal RNA", at positions 28 to 507 of the family's 1533-position model. The record is from RNAcentral.